GGAGAAAUGCAGACAAAUAUCCCCGGCGAAAUGAGGGCAGAAUGGCAUUUUCAUGGGGUUUUAUUUGGAUGCGAAAUCUUUUGGAGGACAGAAGAAGCAGCGUUGACCUCUCUGAAGCAGUGGACUGCAGAGAGACUCAAAGGCCUUGUGGAGAUCUCUCAAGGUUUGAGACUUUAUCUGAACACAUGCUCAUCUGUGCACAGCACAACUCCACCAUGGAUACAAAUUCUUACUCAAAUUCGCAAAUUAAAAGCAACUGUGGUUAUAGAUGGAUACCAAUCGCGUCCUCCCUGAACAGCCUCAGCCAAACCUGAGAGGUUCCCACCCCUCCUCUGCUCAUGAACAGAGAGAUCCUGACUUCCCCUGAAGCCCAAAUCAGGAAAUGUUUCAAAGAAGUGAAUGACAGGAGUCCCUCCACCCGGUUACCCCGACCAGUCUCUCCCUCAAUCUAAAGGAGGUGAUAUUGUAGCCCUUUUUCUCCCUUUCUGAAAGGGGAAAUCCCUGGGAUUGAGCUUGUGUGCUGGAGCGGAAGCAGGCUGGAAUGUGUGUCCGGGCCGCGUCUUUUGUCGCCUGCCGGCGCCAUGAAUAGGCACAGGCCGCAAUCUCUCUGUCCUCUUGUUUAUCAGACUGUGAAGAAGCAAACAAUGCCAAAUGUUUCUUCUGCAUGUUAUCGGCACCUUAUACCUGUCAUUCACUUCUUUAUU
Molecule: long non-coding RNA, 704 nt
Organism: Sander lucioperca (pikeperch)
Lineage: Eukaryota; Metazoa; Chordata; Actinopteri; Perciformes; Percidae
Exons: 3
Source: RefSeq, a predicted model, not a curated record